GGACAUGACUCCAAAGAGUGAACAAAGAGCCAGAGUGGAAUACACAUUGGGAAACAAGCCAAUUAAUCCAGUACCCAGUCCAAAAAGAACUUGAACUGAACCACUUGGACCUAUUUUCUGGGAGAAGUGAAUUUAUGAAUUUUACACAGAACUCCUGUUUCUAUACAGCACAUACUGGAGUGCUGCUGAAGAAUGGAAAUCAAUUGGUUUGUGCAGCUCCUGUUCUAUGUCACAUGAUGAGUCUAAAAUGUUAUUUUUAUGUGCAAUAGCAAUGAAACAAGCUACAUCCAUUCAAUUUUGCCUUAGCAAAAACUUUAAAAAAA
Cyanistes caeruleus (blue tit) is the source of this 323-nucleotide non-coding RNA. The record is from RefSeq and is a predicted model, not a curated record. Lineage: Eukaryota; Metazoa; Chordata; Aves; Passeriformes; Paridae.